Long non-coding RNA from Cephus cinctus (wheat stem sawfly), 6161 nucleotides. RefSeq lists it as uncharacterized. The transcript has 5 exons. Lineage: Eukaryota; Metazoa; Arthropoda; Insecta; Hymenoptera; Cephidae. The record is from RefSeq and is a predicted model, not a curated record.
GCAUCUUACUCGACGGAUCAAUCCAGCUUAAUUAUUUGCACAAUUAAAUAAUCUGAAGGAAGUCACUACGUCUCCAGGUCAGACACGAGGACUUCUAGUAACAGAGGCAACGAAAUUUAUUUAAAAUUGAAAUCAACCCUACAUAUACUAUGCAUUAUUGAUUUCGGACCUGAGGAAUGUCAAGUUUAUCAAUCGCAGAGGAAUUUUUGACGACAGGCAUUGGCGCUUACUCCAAGUAGCAUUAACCUCUCGAAUCUUGCACUAGAUAGUGGUGUCUGGGGUGGAGUUUCCAGACAGUACCAUAAGGGGCUGGUAAAAGAUCAGCUUCGUUAUCUCUCGCCUGGUGUCGAGUUGGGCUCCAGAGUAAUCCUUCUAAAUCCCCAACAAUACCUGGAGGGUAUAGCAGCCAUUAGUGGAAAGUUGGUGGGAGGCAAAAAUGUGGGUUAAAAAAAAUAUAUUAAUAUACUUUUCAACCAGUGAGAUCGUCCUUGUCGAUUUGAAAAUCUUGGACUUAGGGCAUUUCGUAUUUGUUCCCUCGUUCACUGAAUAUACGUGUGCGCUAUGUGAAUAUGAUUUUUUAAAAAAAGUACCAAAUUUUUGAGACACCCCAUACGUGACAGGAUGCGUGUGCAUGUAAGAGCGCCAGACGUACCAUCUCUCACGACCCCUCAAAGAGUCGAGCGGCUUUCGUCUUUUAUUCUGGGUCCACUGUCGGAUAAAAAGAGAAGACGAAGAGCCCGAAGAGCUGCCUUCUCGUGGUUACCAGAGGAGUGGGAUAAAGAGGGAAAAAGAAGACGAAGAAUAGGAUAAAAAGAAGAAGACGAGAGGAAAGUAGUAUCCUUAAAAAAAAGGAGAAGAUGAGAAGUCAAGGAAAAGGUAAGAGAGUCUACAGGUAAAGAGAGCUAGAAAAAAAAUUCUCAUACAUGUACACUGGAUCACAGCUUAAAAAAAAAGCGAUAUUCUUUUUGACGUAGGUAGCGAAGAGGAUUUGGAAAAAAGAAUUAUUAAAGCCAAUUCAAGAUUUUGCAUCUAUGCCAAAAUCUAGGAAAUUUCUAAUCUCAGUGGCAAUUACUCGCAACGUCCAUGCGUGUAGAUCGUUCCCAACUGUGUCCCUGGUUCCCAGUGGAAUGGUAGCUUUUACGAGUCCUGGUCGUGACUGUACUCCAGUACCCCGGCGAAGCCAGGGCAUGUCUGCAGGAGCUUUUAUGGGUUGUGAACAGGUCGUGCCUCGCUUGUAGACCUCUACGUACUCUCUUAUGCGCACGUGUGCCUUUCUGCUGGUUGACACGUAGCUACGUAGUUACGUAUCUGACGGUAGAUAGGUACCUGGAUACCUACGUUACGUAGGUAGAUACGGAACUCGUUGCCUUCCUAUACUGGUAUCCAGCACGUGAUACCCACACCAGCCCUGACUGGAUAGGGUACUGGAUCGUAAAGAGCAUUCCUUGCUCUCUGAUGCAUCGGCGCUGGAUCGGACCUUAUAGCGAAGACUAUAUUUUCCCACGGAAAAAUUGCGUCCUCGAGAUAAGUGUGGAUGCUGCCGUAGAGUGUUGUGUACCACUUAAUGCCAGAUUUGAUGGAAGAAUAAAAUCGGAAGCACUGGGUCUACGUGGUAGCAGCUAGUUGAUAUCAGGUACCAACUUGGUUGCCUGAGGGAAACCGAAGAUACUGCCAGGUGCCAAGAUAGGAAAUUUGAGGAGGUACUAAAAAAAAAAAGUGCCUUUACAGGUUUUUCCUUCGAAACACCCUUAUGGUAUACUCUAUGGGGUAUAUCGUCUGUGCACGAGUUUUCGUAACACCCUGUAGAAGGAGUGCGCGUAUAAGUUGACUCUGCAUACAGUAAAUAUGCGCGGAGCCACCCAAGUGGACCACCCGCCAACAAGAGUGAGGAACGCAGAACGCGGAACGUGGUGAACACACGGGGGAACAUCGUGGGGCAACGGUUACGAGAAUAACGCGCACGCAGGGCUUUAUGGCCACGCCUAAAAACAGUCGCUCGACUUAGAUAGGCCGCCUCUGUAUAGCACGCGAGCACGCGCUCAUUUGCUGGCUCUAAGAUUUUCCGACGAAAGGAACGUUCCUCGAGGAGUGUACAAAUCUUUGUGCUUGAUCCACCAAGAGGAUCCUGGUUACUCCAGCAGAAUGAAGAUAUCUUCGGGAGCCAUCGCUAAUGUACGGAGUAAAAGUUGAAGAGGAGUCGUGGAUACCUCAGUCCUGGUAUGUCCAAUUGGUACAGGCUGAGUACCAGGACCACGUAUUUACGUUUUGGAAAUGGGUGGCCGUUGAAAAAGUUUGGCUAACUGCGAACCUGGAGCGUGGGUCGCUAUCAGCUAGUGGUACUGGGGUUGGGGCAUGAAGGGGAUACUGGCCCUGUGCUGGCUGGGAUUGCUAGGGACCCCUGUCUACGUGGGAGCGGUCGACGACGGACGCACUCUCUCUUUCUCUGUCCUUCUCCGACCCAUGGCUUUUGGUGUUUAUCUCCUUCUCUUUCCCACUCCUCUACCAGCUCACACUCUGGACUCCUACGGUUCACGUCCGUCCGUCCCACUCUCUACUCCCACUCCGCGGAGGGUUCUGCGCCGUUCAUCCUAUCCCACCCUGUCCCCUUGCUCUUCUGCCCAUCCCGGUGACCCUCUCCGCUCGAUAUGACACCCCACUCCGGCGCCAGCCGUCGACGGCUACGGACUGCUACGGCUACGGCUGCACAAGCACUCACGGAGGCAAGUCGCGGUUCUACCACCCCACCCCGUGGCCACUAGCUUCCCCUACCUUGACAGGGUGCCGCCAACGUAGCACCGAAGCACUGUACGGACCAAGCAACGAAGCACCGUAGGGAUCGUAGCCACGUAGCACUGCAGGGCCGUAGCUCACCCUGGCAGAACCCACGUCGACGCUUCCUCCCUGUCCUCCGCCCCCUUGACUCUCCCUCCUUCUGCUCUUGGUCUCGAAUUCUCGUUCCACCAUCGCCUCAUACCCCGUUACACCCCUUGCGAGACUCGAGGACUCGUACUCAUCCCACCACUAGGAGGAAACUCCUCACCCAGCAAGUCCUCCUCCAUCCAGGUUCUCGUACCAUUGACGAUGAACGGCAACCGCCCUGGCAUGCCACGUCCGCUAUCACCCACGCGAGUCAACUACGUCACUGGACGAAGCUUAAAGGCUCGUUCACACUUGAUGAAGCCCUUUUUUUUCUAGGACAAUGAUGAGGGAAUGCUCAUGCUUGAUUGGUGAUAGCGAUUCGGGGGGACAAAUGGAUUGAGGGGAGGGCUAUUGACAAUUUUCACAAAUGGCACGAACAAUGGCUAUCGCAUUUCCUAGCUAUCUAGACUGGCUGGUACGCAAUGGAUCCUCCAGUUACGCAAUUAUCGGUUUUCUCUCGAAAAUGGCAUAUCAGCCGCUUGCUAUGAACGUGGCUGGCUUUGAUCGUUCACUCGAAAUUUUCACAAGGGGCUUCCCCGGGGCCCUUUUGUGGAUUCUCCAAUCCGAAUGACGGUACGGUCCCUGGGAUUUUAGCUGGGAUUGCCUAGGGAUUUUUAUUUUUCUCUCUUUUGGCAUUACUUUAUGGUGCCUGGCUUAACCUCUGGUUAUAUUGAGAUACUAAACCUUUUUUUUUGCUGAUUACAGGGGUAGUCACUGCAGUCGUGGCGAGUAACGCUCUUCCUAUCAUUAGGGGAUGGAUGAUUGCUCUUGGCCACGGUCCAGGAUUCCUCCUACUUCCGGAACGUUUCCGUCGUCGCGUCAUUUCCGGUCCCCUUGUAAUUUUCAUGCUAUAACGGCACGUGCUCCCCCAUGCGUUUAUACGCUCUAUGGUCCCGAAGAGUUUCUUUACCGACGGCUGAGAAUUCAAUGAAAAUAGUGCGUGCGACUUUGUCCUCCCCUAAUGGUCAAAGGUUGGCCGAGGAUAGUUGAUCAGCCCUGUAAUUUUCUUCGCCUGCACCAUUUUUUUUCACACGUAACUUUCAUAUGUAAUUACAGUUACUCUUUUUAGUUCUGAACACGCGUCAUGCAUUUGUCUGGAUAUGAGCCCGCAACAUUUUACUAAAUAUGAAAUGAGUCUCGACUUUCUUUACGUUUGAAAAAAAGCGUUUGGGCAUUCAACAUCGUUCUUUCUGGUUCAGCCUAUAGGGACGGUAUAAACGAGUGGGACUGAGAUGAGCGAUCACUGUACCGGAAGUACAGGCUUAAUUAAACGCUCACUUCUUUCUGUAGUCGGAAGACUUUGGGUGUCGAGAUACUUCAUAAAGUUUACUCUGUAAUUAUCAAAAAUUUUUGAACUCCUAUCCACAAGAACCAGGUGGACCAAGUGGAACAAUUUACGGAAGAGAAAAGGGAUAUAGGAAUUUAGUAAUAUCCACGAGGCGAACAGGUACCCUGUUUUACAAAAAAUCAUUCAACCUCACGUAAUCUUUUACGGGAAAUGAAAUAGCAUUUUUAUCAAUGAUAUUUAUUAGGAAAUUAUCACCAAGUUAUCAACUCGCACUAGCACGUGGUUCUUGUUGCAAAAGGCAGACGCGUGAGUUUACAGUGUCGGCCGCCUGGAAAAUUGAUGGUAAUUGCACAGCGCCAGUCUGCAAACUUUGACCGAGGAGAGCAGCAGGAUGGUCUGAGGUCUCUAGCCAAGUGAAUCCAGUAGGGUUUUGUAUGGGACGGUUGCCUGAUAUCACGAGUCAGAAGCCAGGAAGGCUAGAGAGCAAGUUUGCUCCUCCUGUCAUAUGCAGCCACCAUCACAACGGGCGUUCGGUAACCAUCUAUCCAACCACUACCACCUACUCCAUUCUAAAUCCUCAAUCAAACCAUAUUGAAAGGAGGGCAAAUGUUGCAUUAGCUUAGGUUAGAACACCUGUGACCUUGAAGAUCAUAUCAAAGAUGAAGUCUGGAUUGCUGAAGAAGAAUUGGUGUUCUUAUGACUCAACGUCAGGUCGCUUUUUUUGUAAAGAUGAAUAGGUAAGGUUAAAAUUUUAUAAAAAAAAAAUAUUUUCUAGUGACAAAAAAUCUUUGAAUAGAAAUAUUUGUGAGCAUUUACAAGCACAGCUAGACAUUCCUGACAACAUGUAGGCAGGUACAAGAAGUUGUAAAAAUAAAGACGCAUUUUUCCUUGGGAUCUACUUGUUGGGACUACUGUCUUCAGAGUACAAGGUCUACAGACAGAAGGUUGAAGGUAAUACGAAAGGUUGGGAAGUUCCCAACAAAGAGAAGCAGAAAUCGAGAAAAAUGUCCUUAGAGAAGCAGAAGAGGACGUCGAGAAGGAACCCUGAGGAUGGGAUCGAUCUUGUCCAAGUGGAGUCCGUAGAUACGUACAUAGGCCCCUACGGCCGAAAGUCCUUCGGGAGAAAUGAAGAGGGAAUUAGAAGGGAAGUUACAGGGUGGCUUCGUCGUGCCGUAUUAAUUAUUCGGGCAUCACAAUCCCCGUUGCUCCUAGCCGCACCAGGAGCGUCAAACCGGAAACGAUGGAGGAAGCAGAAAGAACGUCAGAUGAUUGGACGAAGAGCUACUAAGGGUUCGGAUAUACGGAGGAUCCAGGGUCUGUUACGGACGUUGACAACGUAGGGGAUGAAAACGGCGUCAAGUGGAGACCGGUCGGAAAUGAGCGAUGGUACGGUAGAUAUCUUUCCGGGUCGACUUCCGGUGAGCUACGACUUCGCAUUCCCGAUGUAAGGAUCGGCAGAGUCCGACGUUUAAAAAAGCGACGCAACAGCUGGACGUCGCGACGCUGUUGACCUCUCGCGACAGAGAAUCGCAUGAGCGAAGUACAGGAAACUCUGAAUGAAGUUUUUUGAGAAUGCUAAAAACGAGCGGAGUUUGGAUCGCGCCCCCAGUUACGAGAAAACCGCAGCGCGUUCCGUUUAGCGAGAGAUGAAUCACCGAGUGCAGAGGGUGGGCAGAGUGCAACCCUGCGCCGCUCACGUUGCACCGGGUGCACUCGUGUGCAUAACCUGGAAGCCUGGAAGCGUGUGCCGAUGUACCAUAUAUAUACCCCGGCGGCGUGUGCGGGUAUAUCGCAACGCAGCGCGCCCUGGAAAAGUAGGGUGCAAUUACCAUUGCCAGCACCGGACGGGCGCACGCGGCUGUUACCACUCCCACAUAAAACAUAAUAUCCAGGUAUCAUUACGGGCGCGUCACGCUCGAAAAAGCUUCUCUUUCUCUCGUGCCGCCAUUAGCCC